AACUAACCAAAAUCCAACGUCGAGCCAACGUCUCAAGCCAACGUCACAUUGACAUCAAAUACUGAUGUUUUGUCGUCAGGUAUGGCAACCAAAAUCCAACAUCUUGUAGACGUCAUUAUGGUAACGUCCGAUCAACGUCAAGUUAUAACAUCAUUUGAUGUUGAUCUGUAGUUAGUUUUAGGUUGUGGCAUUAACUAACCAAAAUCCAACAUCAAGACAACGUCUCAAGCCAACGUCAGAUUGACAUCAAAUACUGAUGUUUAGUCGUCAGGUAUGGCAACCAAAAUCCAAUGUCUUCAAGACGUCAUAAUGGUAACGUCCAAUCAACGUCAAAUUAUAACGUCAUUUGACUUUGAUCUUUAGUUUGUUUUUAGGUUGUGACAUUAACUAACCUAAACCCAACGUCGAGCCAACGUCUCAGGCCAACGUCACAUUGACAUCAAAUACUGAUAUUUAGUCGUCAG
Molecule: long non-coding RNA, 464 nt
Organism: Cyprinus carpio carpio
Lineage: Eukaryota; Metazoa; Chordata; Actinopteri; Cypriniformes; Cyprinidae
Source: Ensembl